AUUGAACGCUGGCGGCAGGCCUAACACAUGCAAGUCGAGCGGAUGAAGGGAGCUUGCUCCUGGAUUCAGCGGCGAACGGGUGAGUAACACGUGAGUAACCUGCCCUUGACUUUGGGAUAACUUCAGGAAACUGGGGCUAAUACCGGAUAGGAGCUCCUGCUGCAUGGUGGGGGUUGGAAAGUUUCGGCGGUUGGGGAUGGACUCGCGGCUUAUCAGCUUGUUGGUGGGGUAGUGGCUUACCAAGGCUUUGACGGGUAGCCGGCCUGAGAGGGUGACCGGCCACAUUGGGACUGAGAGACGGCCCAGACUCCUACGGGAGGCAGCAGUGGGGAAUAUUGCACAAUGGGCGGAAGCCUGAUGCAGCAACGCCGCGUGCGGGAUGACGGCCUUCGGGUUGUAAACCGCUUUCGCCUGUGACGAAGCGUGAGUGACGGUAAUGGGUAAAGAAGCACCGGCUAACUAC
RNAcentral lists this ribosomal RNA (463 nucleotides) under uncultured bacterium. Its description in RNAcentral is "partial 16S ribosomal RNA". It matches the Rfam family "Bacterial small subunit ribosomal RNA", at positions 28 to 504 of the family's 1533-position model. The record is from RNAcentral.